AGGAAGACGGGGGCUUCCUGGUGGACAUCUUGUAUAGUGCUCUCCGAUGCUGUGACAGUGACGUGGAGAGGAAGGAAGUCUUGGAUGAUCUAACUCAGGAGGACCUGAAGUGGAGCUCUCUUCUUCGGGUCAUUGAAAAGGCUUUGAAAUGAACCAAGUUGCAAAUCCUUUCUUCUCAACCUUUAAAGCAAAAGAAGCCCUGGGAACAUGGAUCAGCAUGGUUUUGGGGGUGGAUUUACAAGUUUUUCUCUCUCACUUCCCCACUCAACAAAAAUAAAAAAGUUACAUU
RNAcentral lists this long non-coding RNA (289 nucleotides) under Rattus norvegicus (Norway rat). RNAcentral's name for it is "long non-coding RNA NONRATT006833". Lineage: Eukaryota; Metazoa; Chordata; Mammalia; Rodentia; Muridae. The record is from RNAcentral.